Molecule: transfer RNA, 67 nt
Filed under: Candidatus Doudnabacteria bacterium CG10_big_fil_rev_8_21_14_0_10_42_18
Lineage: Bacteria; Candidatus Doudnaibacteriota
Description: tRNA-Ile
Rfam family: tRNA
About the family: Transfer RNA (tRNA) molecules are approximately 80 nucleotides in length. Their secondary structure includes four short double-helical elements and three loops (D, anti-codon, and T loops). Further hydrogen bonds mediate the characteristic L-shaped molecular structure. tRNAs have two regions of fundamental functional importance: the anti-codon, which is responsible for specific mRNA codon recognition, and the 3' end, to which the tRNAs corresponding amino acid is attached (by aminoacyl-tRNA synthetases). tRNAs cope with the degeneracy of the genetic code in two manners: having more than one tRNA (with a specific anti-codon) for a particular amino acid; and 'wobble' base-pairing, i.e. permitting non-standard base-pairing at the 3rd anti-codon position.
Source: RNAcentral
GGGCGAUUAGCUCAGUCGGUUAGAGCGCGUCACUGAUAAUGACGAGGUCUGAGGCCUGCCUCGCAUU